UACGUAGGGACCAAGCGUUGUUCGGAUUUACUGGGCGUAAAGGGCGCGUAGGCGGCGCGGUAAGUCACUUGUGAAAUCUCUGAGCUUAACUCAGAACGGCCAAGUGAUACUGCAGUGCUAGAGUGUGGAAGGGGCAAUCGGAAUUCUUGGUGUAGCGGUGAAAUGCGUAGAUAUCGGGAGGAACACCAGUGGCGAAGACGGCGACCUGGGCCAAUAUUGACGCUGAGGUGCGAAAGCGUGGGGAGCAAACAGG
RNAcentral lists this ribosomal RNA (253 nucleotides) under uncultured bacterium. RNAcentral describes it as "partial 16S ribosomal RNA". It matches the Rfam family "Bacterial small subunit ribosomal RNA", at positions 524 to 776 of the family's 1533-position model. The record is from RNAcentral.